CACUGGCCUGAAGGUAGUUAUUUCAAUUGAUUGUGCACAGUCAGUUACAGAUCAACUUCUCAAACUCCUUGUUCUACUCUUACCCUCUUCUCACUACCGCACUGACUAGUCUUUU
Molecule: non-coding RNA, 115 nt
Filed under: Saimiri boliviensis boliviensis (Bolivian squirrel monkey)
Lineage: Eukaryota; Metazoa; Chordata; Mammalia; Primates; Cebidae
Source: RNAcentral